RNAcentral lists this ribosomal RNA (601 nucleotides) under Salmonella enterica. Its description in RNAcentral is "partial 23S ribosomal RNA". The record is from RNAcentral. Lineage: Bacteria; Pseudomonadati; Pseudomonadota; Gammaproteobacteria; Enterobacterales; Enterobacteriaceae.
GUCUGAAUAUGGGGGGACCAUCCUCCAAGGCUAAAUACUCCUGACUGACCGAUAGUGAACCAGUACCGUGAGGGAAAGGCGAAAAGAACCCCGGCGAGGGGAGUGAAAAAGAACCUGAAACCGUGUACGUACAAGCAGUGGGAGCCCCACCACUAAGCCAGUGGUGAACUCCACAUACGCAUCCUUUGCUGAGGAUACGGUUAACGGAGCGAAAGCGAYGUUCAACCGCAAAAGAAGCAGAGGGGGCUUAGUGGUGGGGUGACUGCGUACCUUUUGUAUAAUGGGUCAGCGACUUAUAUUCUGUAGCAAGGUUAACCGAAUAGGGGAGCCGGAGGGAAACCGAGUCUUAAUUGGGCGUUAAGUUGCAGGGUAUAGACCCGAAACCCGGUGAUCUAGCCAUGGGCAGGUUGAAGGUUGGGUAACACUAACUGGAGGACCGAACCGACUAAUGUUGAAAAAUUAGCGGAUGACCUGUGGCUGGGGGUGAAAGGCCAAUCAAACCGGGAGAUAGCUGGUUCUCCCCGAAAGCUAUUUAGGUAGCGCCUCGUGAAUUCAUCUCCGGGGGUAGAGCACUGUUUCGGCUAGGGGGCCAUCCCGGCUU